UUCGCUCCGCCACAGGCCACCGUACCCGCCCGUCAAAGGUUUAGCCAAUCGCUGUGCUCCGCCUGCCGACUGCCCGCCCCUUCCCUCUCCGCUGGGAGGGGAGGGGGAGCCGCUCACCUUCUCCACGCCCCUAUUGGCGGGGAGCUUCCCUAACUCAACCCCGCCUAUUGGAGAUGAAUUGCUGAAUCCCACCCCCAAGCCGCAACACUAUUGGAGGAAGCAGGGAAGCUCUCCACGUCUCAUUGGAGAACUCCAUAUAUCCCGCCCCGUGCUGCCUCAGCCACAGGUCCAACAACUAGGCUCCCGCCCUCGCCGGUCAUCGCAUUGGAAGGCUACUCCUCGCUCUCCGGCUGCCCCAGGAAGAGACUGAAGCGCAGAGUUCCAGGGCCCGAAACAGGAGGUGGUGCGGAGCUAAGCAGCGGGAAUCCGAUGCCUUGGGAUUUGAAAGGGAGAGGCAGCAGCAGUGCCACCGUGGAGGAUCCCCUUACAAAAAUAAAGAGAAAGAGAACCUCA
Molecule: long non-coding RNA, 513 nt
Organism: Camelus dromedarius (Arabian camel)
Lineage: Eukaryota; Metazoa; Chordata; Mammalia; Artiodactyla; Camelidae
Exons: 2
Source: RefSeq, a predicted model, not a curated record